CUAGUACUCCCUCCGUCUCAAAAUUUUGUCUUAGAUUUGUCUAGGUACGGAUGUAUCUAGUCAUGUCAUAGUAUUUAGAUACAUCUAUUUUUAGACAAACCUAAGACAAGAAUUUUGAAACGGAGAAAUUUGUUG
This 135-nucleotide microRNA precursor is filed under the name Hordeum vulgare. RNAcentral's name for it is "microRNA MIR1122". It matches the Rfam family "MIR1120/MIR1122 microRNA precursor family". Lineage: Eukaryota; Viridiplantae; Streptophyta; Magnoliopsida; Poales; Poaceae. The record is from RNAcentral.